Cercocebus atys (sooty mangabey) is the source of this 2782-nucleotide long non-coding RNA. RefSeq lists it as uncharacterized. NCBI's taxonomy places the organism in Eukaryota, Metazoa, Chordata, Mammalia, Primates, Cercopithecidae. The record is from RefSeq and is a predicted model, not a curated record. The transcript has 3 exons.
GCAAGGGGCACUUUGAGCCAGGGAGUUAGGGGCACAGGAGCUGUGAUGUGACUGCCCCACCCCUAGGAAACUGAGUUCCUUCCAGGGGAAAGUCACUGUCUCUCUCCCAGAGCCUCCCACGGCUCAGGGGCUCUUGAGAGAUGCCUUCGUGGGUGAGUUUGAUUUUUGGAAACUGCCAGAGUGUUCUGGAGUGGGGUCUAGUGAAUGAAGUGGGUGACUAAGCUGAUUUAGGUCAUCUGUUAUUGCAAACAAACAAAAAAACACCCCAGCAUAAUUACUAAAAAACCCCACACAAAACCAGCAGAUAUUCUCGUUUGACUUGUUAACUGGCUUCUAAGGGAGGAGUCAGAACUCCUCCUGCUAAAACACAAUGGAAGCUUUGGCAACUUGGGACAACAAGGAUGCUUUUCUCAAGGGGACUGCAUUGAAAAACCCACACUUGGAGCCACCAAGUUCUGGUGCAUUUGCCUGAAAACAAAUAGCUCUCCCCAUGGCAGCACUGAAUGGGAGUUUAGAGCAAGCACACACAGUGAGUGGAAGAAAUCAGACAGCAGAAAUGGAACGCCGACCGCUCAGAGAGGGGAAUGAUCCAGAAGCGAUGUCAGGAUCUUGUAGAGCCUGGGGUGUUGUUCAGACCCCCAGGGACGGUAUCUCCCUUGGGUAGCAGGAGAGUGAUGAACCCACAGAGACAGUGGGCUGGUCGAGUCCCUGUCUCCAGGUUUUCAAUCCCACAAGUCUUUAAAAGAGAAAUGCGUGGUGUGGGGAUAAGAUGACAGGCCUUGGAGACAUGGAGUCCUGGCUUUACUGUUUGUUGUAUGAGUUUGGGAGCAUCUUCCUUGCUGAAGCUCAUUUCCUCAUCUGUAGAGUGGGGAUGACACCUGCUUCUCUCCUAUUAUCUACUUCCCUCUCAGAAGAUAGAGGAGAACCCUUCAGUAAGCAUGCAAAAAAUCAUAGCUCCUUACUUCCUUUUGGCUUGCCCCAGGCGGGUGAAAUGUCUGAGCAACAAAGAUCCUAAUGGCAUUAUGAGUAGCCUGGCUACCUGGCCAGGGAGGUGACAAAAAACACAAACAAAGAGGUCUGAGGCCAACUUCGCCCACAUCAUUAUCUCACUGAGGUGAGACUGUGUCCACCUCUCACUGCCCCUUACUUGUCCCACCUUCAGGGUUUUCUGCAGCUGAAAGGCCUGCUCUGCAGGACUCCUGGGGCUGAGUUCCUGCCUGGCUCCUCACCCCCCACCUCUCCAGGUGCCCCAGAGCAAGUGCAGGCCCCUCUCUGGGACUCAUUUCCUCAGAAUCACAAGGGCUCGGGAAACGGAUGAUGCCAGGAGAGUGAGAUUCUGGUGCUCUCCUUCCUGGCUGUCUCUGCCAAGGUCACUUCUCAGCUGCUCUGAAAGCCCCUGGAGGACAAGGCAUGCACUGUGACCUUUCCAGGGAGCAGCCUGUCCCCCCCCCGUACUGGCCCCAGCCCCCAUCCCUGCUUCCACUGCCAGAUGGGUGCCGCUCACUUGGCUCCAGGAAAGCCCUCAGUAGGAAGCUCGUGAAAAUACUAGAACAGAAGUCAGUCCCUCCCUCCCGCUACUUGGCUCUUCUUUCCGCCGUCUGUCUGUCCCGCCCCCUCUCUCUGAUGCUCCCCUUCCCUCCAUCUCUCUGGUCCUCCCUUCUCUCUUCUCCUUACCCCAGACACAGAACCCAGAAGAGCCAGCAGUAACAGACGGUUAGAGCUACAGCCUGGGAGACAGGGUGGCGCAAGUUGGCACCGUGGGUCUGCUGUCCGGGCACUGCGCGCCUCCAGAGCGUGAGGCCGAUGACGCUGUAGGCGACGAACAUCACCGCGAGCGGCAGGAAGUAGAUGAGGGCGAUCACCACGAGUGAAAGAACCUGUCAACCUUGAUGUUACUCCACAAAUCGUGAGCCGUGACGCACAUAGCGUUCUUGCCUGUUCUGGAGGGCUGCCUUUCGUUGUCUUGCUGGAGCACGAAUACCCUUUCCCUAUGGUAUCUAAGCGUUGCGUGUGGGGAGUGAGAAUGCAGAGCUCCACCUGUCUUGUGGCCAUCCAAGAUCCUGCUUCUGUCUGUAAAUUCCCUCAAUAAAUCACCCAAUACUAACAAACUGGAUUUGUUCUGCCUCCUUCUUUGGGUCUCAGCUCCUUUGGCAUUCGGGGAUCCCUUUCAUAGAACAGAGUCCUUGGAACAUUCCACCAAAGGGGCCUGAGACCCCUGGUCCUGUCAUAUGACUUUUUCUUUCUUACUGGGAGGACUGAGGUGUUCCCAAACCUCCUGCAUCUACCUGCCACGUGCUGGCCUUGCUGGGCCCCUUUCUAGAGGUGCUGCCACCCCAAGGGAAGGGGACCCAUGGUGAAACCACCUUUGUAAAAUUAUAACGGAGGAAAUUAUGACAGUGAAAGAAAUCAGACCUAACCGACUCUGUCUUGCUUCUAACCCUUAAGCUGUCCUUGUUCAUGCCUGGGCGUAGGCUGAGCUAUCUUUGGGAAGGAAUUCAGUUCAUAAUUUUACUCUGAAACAAAAGUGACAAUAGCCCUUUCCCGAAAAGACCCCCUACUUGCCUGGGGUCCAAUCUGCCUUUCCAGCACUAACAAAUUAGCUACAAGAAUAGAAAUUAAUUUAGGGGUCAUGCAGCCUCCGGCUCCAAGAGUUUGAACCUCCCCAAAUUCCUGGGAGUAACAUCACUAUAGUAAAACCUAAGAUGAGUGCUUGAGAUAUUUUCCAGACCCUGCACUCGUGGAUCAGCUGACACCACCCAGGCCAGCAAUCUGACUCAACCAG